This 462-nucleotide ribosomal RNA is filed under the name uncultured bacterium. RNAcentral describes it as "partial 16S ribosomal RNA". It matches the Rfam family "Bacterial small subunit ribosomal RNA", at positions 28 to 507 of the family's 1533-position model. The record is from RNAcentral.
GAUGAACGCUGACAGAAUGCUUAACACAUGCAAGUCAUUUGCGAAGCUGCGCUUGCGCAGUCUAGCCAAGGCGGACGGGUGAGUAACGCGUAAGGAACUUGCCCUGCAGACAGGGAUAACAGACGGAAACGACUGAUAACACCUGGUAUUGUCAGGCUGGCGCAUGCCGGCCUGAUGAAAGGAGACGCUGCAGGAGAGCCUUGCGUCCUAUUAGCUAGUUGGUGGGGUAACGGCCCACCAAGGCGAUGAUAGGUAGCCGGCCUGAGAGGGUGAACGGCCACAAGGGGACUGAGAUACGGCCCUUACUCCUACGGGAGGCAGCAGUGGGGAAUAGUGGACAAUGGGGGCAACCCUGAUGCAGCAAUUCUGUGUGCACGAAGAAGGUUUUCGGAGUGUAAAGUGCUUUCAGCAGGGAAGAAGAAAGUGACGGUACCUGCAGAAGAAGCGACGGCUAAAUACGUG